Molecule: long non-coding RNA, 1099 nt
Organism: Mesocricetus auratus (golden hamster)
Lineage: Eukaryota; Metazoa; Chordata; Mammalia; Rodentia; Cricetidae
Exons: 4
Source: RefSeq, a predicted model, not a curated record
GAAUUGUGGAAACAGCCCUCCUUCCCUCCAGCCUGAGGGGCUUCCUGAGGGGUCCCAACCCGGCACUUGGAAUCAGGAAUGAGACAGAAGCCUAGACUCUACUCCUAGUACUGCUCCUGGGCCAACCCUUCCAGAAGCCACAAAUCUGUGAGUGACAGACCCAAAUGUGAGAGAAUGCAGUCCAGGUCCUGUUUCUUCUGAUCAGGAUGUAGCCAGCACCAUGUCUGCCUGCAUGGCACCAUGCUCCCGUCAUUAUGCUAAUUGACUGAACCUCUGAAACUGCACAGCACUGGUUCCUGCUGUCUCAGCCAUGCUUCCCUCCUACCUCUCCACCCGUCCUCCAGACGAAAUCCACGGACUGCUCACUCAGGACUGCUCACUCAGGACUGCAGGUGGAGUAAAAGAUAAGGAGGCAAGGAGUGUCUAAAUUUAAAGUGCUGGAAAAUCCAACAUUUUAUUCACUACAUUUCGGUGACUACACAAAUGCGGAAACAUUGUAACACUGGGAUCGUGAUGACAUCACCACUUGCUUUUUUUUUUCUUUUCUCUUUUUCUUUAGCAAACACAGCAGAUGAUAUUGCACGGCAUAAAGAGAGAACAGUAUUGAAGUUCAAAAAAUUAAUUAAAAAAUAAAAGGGAAGAAAGAAAGAAACCUUAAUGCAGUACAAACCAGAAGAAUGCCUAACACACUACACAUUUUUGUCGCUAUGCACGGAAAAUACAGAAGAAGGGUCAACAGCGAGAAAGACAGACGAAGUAUCAGCAAAUGACUGUAACUGGGUACAAUAAUCAUUUCAUCUGACAUGUUGAUGCAGUGUAGAAACUACUACCAUUUUCUAAUAGUCAAAGAAGAGGACAGUAACGUUUGUUUGUCUCCUAGCAAAAAUCUCCUAAGCCCCUCAUGGUUAGGUGUGUAGUUAAAUAAUCAUGUAUUUACCAUUUUUUGUUGUUUUUUUUUUUUAAUUCAUUGCUAAGGAAGAACUCCCCCUGCCCUUGGAAAAAUUUCUACUCUAUUGAUCUUUUAUUUAAUUUUUACCUGAUGAUUGUCUUAGGCACCCUCCUUAUAUAAUAAACCAUCAAGCUAACUUGAACAGGGAAA